RNAcentral lists this long non-coding RNA (960 nucleotides) under Gopherus agassizii (Agassiz's desert tortoise). RNAcentral describes it as "lncRNA (ENSGAGG00000007201.1)". Lineage: Eukaryota; Metazoa; Chordata; Testudines; Testudinidae. The record is from RNAcentral.
AUAAAAUAAAAGCUUGUUGCCCCAGCAUGGAGCAAUUUGUCAAAUAUGAUGCACCGACAGGAGACCUGCAGAGGGAAUUGUCAAAAUUCCCUGAACUUUAGCAAUGUGCUCUGCAUACCUCAACUCACCAAACUAAGAAUUUAUUUAAAGUGAAAGAGGAAAAAAAGGUUGCUGGACGUGCCUUAACUUCCUGUUAUUAUUUCUGUUGUGGUAGUACCUUGAGUUCCCAGGCUGGGGAUCAGGGCUUCAUUGUGCUAGGUGUGGUACAUAGAUAUCGUAAUAAGACAAUGCCUCCCCUUAUAUGCAUCUGCACAUAUGAUGAGAAAACAGCAGGUGGAUAAAAUUAAAAAAACUGGGGAGUGAUGACAAGGUGAAACUGUCCUAAUUAAUGAAUAAACAGAUGUGUCAGCCUGGCUACUAAGGUCUUUUAACACAUGUUGCUAAAGUUGUGGUGACAUUGGCAAUUUCCUUUGCAGGUUCAGCUUGAGUAGGUGUGAAAAUAUCAAGAGAGUCACUGUUCAUCUCACAUCUGUUGUGCUCUGGAUAACAAAGGUUAGCGGCAUAGCCAUGCUUGAUUAUUUUCACAAUGCUAGCCAGCCUCUGCAAUGAGUGCUGGAGUGAUUAUUCGAUCCUAGCAACAGGCACUAGCAGAGUAUGCAGCAGCACCAUGCCAGCUGGUCUCACAGCACAAGAGCAAGCACACUGAGGGCUGCCUGGAGAAGGGGGCAGAAGAAGGGAGGCAGUGCCAACAAGUCUAAACCAGCCAGAACAGGAAAUAUUCAUGUUCACAGUGAGUGUCUCCAUCUGCAGCUGUUUGAAAACUGAGAGUUCCUACUGGAUCCUCACUCUGGAAAAAAGGGUGGAUAUUCAGGAAUACAGCACCUCCUUUCCAGGAACUGAAUGGAUAUUCUCUUCAUGCAUUUGAAAUCUUGAUCCUUCCCCACUGGGAAUUCUCUAGAU